CCUACGGGAGGCAGCAGUGAGGAAUAUUGGUCAAUGGGCGCGAGCCUGAACCAGCCAAGUAGCGUGAAGGAUGACUGCCCUACGGGUUGUAAACUUCUUUUAUAAAGGAAUAAAGUGAGGCACGUGUGCCUUUUUGUAUGUACUUUAUGAAUAAGGAUCGGCUAACUCCGUCCCAUCAGCCGCGGUAAUACGGAGGAUCCGAGCGUUAUCCGGAUUUAUUGGGUUUAAAGGGAGCGUAGAUGGGUUGUUAAGUCAGUUGUGAAAGUUUGCGGCUCAACCGUAAAAUUGCAAUUGAUACUGGCAGUCUUGAGUACAGUUGAGGUGGGCGGAAUUCGUGGUGUAGCGGUGAAAUGCUUAGAUAUCACGAAGAACUCCGAUUGCGAAGGCAGCUUACUAAACUGCCACUGACAUUGAUGCUCGAAAGUGUGGGUAUCAAACAGGAUUAGAUACCCCGGUAGUC
RNAcentral lists this ribosomal RNA (460 nucleotides) under uncultured bacterium. RNAcentral describes it as "partial 16S ribosomal RNA". It matches the Rfam family "Bacterial small subunit ribosomal RNA", at positions 338 to 795 of the family's 1533-position model. The record is from RNAcentral.